Photinus pyralis (common eastern firefly) is the source of this 661-nucleotide long non-coding RNA. RefSeq lists it as uncharacterized. The record is from RefSeq and is a predicted model, not a curated record. NCBI's taxonomy places the organism in Eukaryota, Metazoa, Arthropoda, Insecta, Coleoptera, Lampyridae. The transcript is spliced from 2 exons.
ACUUCACCUACCUGCCCGAAUCCACCAUAAACUAUUUCGUAACGGCACACAUUCCAACCUUUCCCACUUUUUACAAAGAAGUACUUUCUAAAGCGCUUCUAUGGAAACGGCAAAUAAGCGGAACGAUCUCCUCUUUUAAACUUUUACGAGUGUUGUCCUCUUAUUAUUAUCGGUCAGAUAAAACGUCUAUUGCGAUAAGGGACUCGUAAUUGGUUUGAUUCGUAAAAAUGAAAUUAGUCCUUGAUCACGUUGGUUGUCUUGCAUCAGCAAGAUAUGCCGUUUCUGAGAAAUCGUCCGAUAUUGUCUGGAAGGGUGACUAUCAUCAGUAUACGUACUUUUGUUGUCGACCAGGUUCGAACUCCAAUCCCAGCCCCGUCAAAUCGUGUCCAUACAAGCUGCAUAAUUGGCAAUGAAAUGACUUCGCAGCUACAGAAGAUCAAUUGUGGAACGAGGCGGAUGAAUAACAACAAUGGGCCUAGUACUGAUCCCUGUGGAAUACCUUUUCUAACCAAUCACGAAAUCUGAAUCGGUGAGGCUGUAGGAUGAGUGGAUGACGCAGCUAUCAUUCUUAAAAAGUUUCAGUUGUUUGUACACGGCUAAUUAUAAUUAUGCAAGAUAAGCAUUUAUGCAUAUUACAAUACAGUAUAUUAUUCUGCAAGUA